CAUUACAUGCAUUGUAAAGCAUGCUUUAAUUUAAAUUUAUUUAAUUUUUAUUUAUAUUUAUAUUUACACAUAUUACAAACCCAAUUCAAUAAUAUAUACGCACUUCGUUUGAUCGAAAUAACGUUAACCGCAGAGACGACGUCAUCGCUGAAGUUACAACAACAAAUUGAGCGGUUCCAAAAUAAUCACAAUCUAACAUCAUGGAACCUUUGCCAAUGUCAAGGAACAACGGCGCAGUUUUAGUAAAAAAGUCUACACUAUAAAAAAACACUUGACACACAGUGACAUAAAAAAAGUUUCCAUUUGAAUCCAAAAUAACUUUGAGUUUCUCAAACAUGCCAGUUCGGAUGUAUUGUCAAGUUCAAGUAAUUUGCCGUUUGAUGAUUUAGAUCUUGGCGUACGAUUGUUUUUUGUGAUAACGAUAGAGAUGAUUAUGAUGAUGAUGAUGAGAAAAGAUAUUCAUAUACAUCCAGGAGGUAGGC
This is a long non-coding RNA of Microplitis mediator, 482 nucleotides long. RefSeq lists it as uncharacterized. NCBI's taxonomy places the organism in Eukaryota, Metazoa, Arthropoda, Insecta, Hymenoptera, Braconidae. The transcript has 3 exons. The record is from RefSeq and is a predicted model, not a curated record.